UACGGAGGUGGCUAGCGUUGUUCGGAAUCACUGGGCGUAAAGCGCGCGUAGGCGGCUUAUCAAGUUGGGCGUUAAAGCCCGGGGCUCAACCCCGGAAAUGCGCCCAAGACUGGUUGGCUAGAGACCGAGAGAGGGUGGUGGAAUUCCCAGUGUAGAGGUGAAAGUCGUAGAGAUCGGGAGGAAUACCAGUGGCGAAGGAGGCCUGCUGGACUGAUACUGACACUGAGGUGCGAAAGCGUGGGUAGCAAACAGG
Molecule: unclassified non-coding RNA, 253 nt
Filed under: uncultured Alphaproteobacteria bacterium
Lineage: Bacteria; Pseudomonadati; Pseudomonadota; Alphaproteobacteria
Description: contains 16S-23S intergenic spacer region
Rfam family: Bacterial small subunit ribosomal RNA
Source: RNAcentral